CCUACGGGUAGCAGCAGUGGGGAAUAUUGCACAAUGGGCGCAAGCCUGAUGCAGCCAUGCCGCGUGUGUGAAGAAGGCCUUCGGGUUGUAAAGCACUUUCAGCGGGGAGGAAGGCGGUGAGGUUAAUAACCUCAUCGAUUGACGUUACCCGCAGAAGAAGCACCGGCUAACUCCGUGCCAGCAGCCGCGGUAAUACGGAGGGUGCAAGCGUUAAUCGGAAUUACUGGGCGUAAAGCGCACGCAGGCGGUCUGUCAAGUCGGAUGUGAAAUCCCCGGGCUCAACCUGGGAACUGCAUUCGAAACUGGCAGGCUAGAGUCUUGUAGAGGGGGGUAGAAUUCCAGGUGUAGCGGUGAAAUGCGUAGAUAUCUGGAGGAAUACCGGUGGCGAAGGCGGCCCCCUGGACAAAGACUGACGCUCAGGUGCGAAAGCGUGGGGAGCAAACAGGAUUAGAUACCCGGGUAGUC
This 465-nucleotide ribosomal RNA is filed under the name uncultured Klebsiella sp. Its description in RNAcentral is "bacterial SSU rRNA". It matches the Rfam family "Bacterial small subunit ribosomal RNA", at positions 338 to 795 of the family's 1533-position model. Lineage: Bacteria; Pseudomonadati; Pseudomonadota; Gammaproteobacteria; Enterobacterales; Enterobacteriaceae. The record is from RNAcentral.